AUCAGUUUGUUGGUGAGGUGAUGGCUCACCAAGACGAUGACGGGUAGCCGGCCUGAGAGGGCGACCGGCCACACUGGGACUGAGACACGGCCCAGACUCCUACGGGAGGCAGCAGUGGGGAAUAUUGCACAAUGGGCGAAAGCCUGAUGCAGCGACGCCGCGUGGGGGAUGACGGCCUUCGGGUUGUAAACCCCUUUCAGUAGGGAAGAAGCGAGAGUGACGGUACCUGCAGAAGAAGCGCCGGCUAACUACGUGCCAGCAGCCGCGGUAAUACGUAGGGCGCAAGCGUUGUCCGGAAUUAUUGGGCGUAAAGAGCUUGUAGGUGGCUUGUCGCGUCUGCCGUGAAAACCCGAGGCUCAACCUCGGGCGUGCGGUGGGUACGGGCAGGCUAGAGUGUGGUAGGGGAGACUGGAACUCCUGGUGUAGCGGUGAAAUGCGCAGAUAUCAGGAAGAACACCGAUGGCGAAGGCAGGUCUCUGGGCCAUUACUGACACUGAGAAGCGAAAGCAUGGGUAGCGAACAGGAUUAGAUACCCUGGUAGUCCAUGCC
Molecule: ribosomal RNA, 549 nt
Filed under: Brachybacterium sp.
Lineage: Bacteria; Bacillati; Actinomycetota; Actinomycetes; Micrococcales; Dermabacteraceae
Description: bacterial SSU rRNA
Rfam family: Bacterial small subunit ribosomal RNA
Source: RNAcentral